Long non-coding RNA from Anguilla anguilla (European eel), 621 nucleotides. RefSeq lists it as uncharacterized. The transcript is spliced from 3 exons. NCBI's taxonomy places the organism in Eukaryota, Metazoa, Chordata, Actinopteri, Anguilliformes, Anguillidae. The record is from RefSeq and is a predicted model, not a curated record.
AUUCACGCUAAUGUGGAGUAUGUCUUUCGGGAAGGUGACAUCAACCUACCAAGUGACUUCCUGGCUGCGAUACUGGCAGUUAGUGGUCUGGCCACCACCGCAGCUCCCACCACCACAAGCAGCCCUGUCCUCCUGCUGAUCACAAGUACUGCAGGCAGGUUCCCUGGAUGGGCCCUGGCCAUCAUCAUCCCCUGCGGUAUCGCCAUCAUCCUCUGCCCUUUCUGGACACUCCUGUGUUGCCUGCUGUGUGGUUGCUGUGCGGCCAUUAAGAGACGUUGGCAAAGGAGGCACGCCUACCACAUACAGCAGUACAGGACACAUCUCAUCUGAGAAUCUUACCUGCCACGUCCCCUCUGAGAGGGUGGAGCUUUGACGUUCAGCUGGAGUCUGAAAACCAAGUCUUAAUAUGAUUCAUGUUUUAUUAUAAUGUUCUAACAUAUAUGACCCAUAGCAACUGCAUGGCUGGAUGGAAGAUAUUUAUCAUUAUUUAUUUAUAUCUAUUAAAUGUGAGAAUUAACUGCUCAGCUGCAUCAUACCCAGGCAUUCAAAAGUAAAUCUGCACGUAUUUAUCUUUCUAUCAAGCAUUAUUUAUUUAAUUAAAGGUUAACUAUGUAUUGCGUA